GUGAACGCUGGCGGUAGGCCUAACACAUGCAAGUCGAACGGCAGCACAGUAAGAGCUUGCUCUUACGGGUGGCGAGUGGCGGACGAGUGAGGAAUACAUCGGAAUCUACUUUUUCGUGGGGGAUAACGUAGGGAAACUUACGCUAAUACCGCAUACGACCUACGGGUGAAAGCAGGGGAUCUUCGGACCUUGCGCGAUUGAAUGAGCCGAUGUCGGAUUAGCUAGUUGGCGGGGUAAAGGCCCACCAAGGCGACGAUCCGUAGCUGGUCUGAGAGGAUGAUCAGCCACACUGGAACUGAGACACGGUCCAGACUCCUACGGGAGGCAGCAGUGGGGAAUAUUGGACAAUGGGCGCAAGCCUGAUCCAGCCAUACCGCGUGGGUGAAGAAGGCCUUCGGGUUGUAAAGCCCUUUUGUUGGGAAAGAAAAGCAGCAGGUUAAUACCCCGCUGUUCUGACGGUACCCAAAGAAUAAGCACCGGCUAACUUCG
RNAcentral lists this ribosomal RNA (489 nucleotides) under uncultured bacterium. RNAcentral's name for it is "partial 16S ribosomal RNA". It matches the Rfam family "Bacterial small subunit ribosomal RNA", at positions 29 to 505 of the family's 1533-position model. The record is from RNAcentral.